GAUUAAGCCAUGCAUGUCUAAGUAUAAGCAAUUAUACCGUGAAACUGCGAAUGGCUCAUUAAAUCAGUUAUCGUUUAUUUGAUAGUACCUUACUACUUGGAUAACCGUGGUAAUUCUAGAGCUAAUACAUGCUGAAAACCCCGACUUCGGAAGGGGUGUAUUUAUUAGAUAAAAAACCAAUGCCCUUCGGGGCUCCUGGUGAUUCAUAAUAACUUCUCAGAUCGCAUGGCCUUGCGCCGGCGACGGUUCAUUCAAAUUUCUGCCCUAUCAACUUUCGAUGGUAAGGUAUUGGCUUACCAUGGUUUCAACGGGUAACGGGGAAUUAGGGUUCGAUUCCGGAGAGGGAGCCUGAGAAACGGCUACCACAUCCAAGGAAGGCAGCAGGCGCGCAAAUUACCCAAUCCCGACACGGGGAGGUAGUGACAAUAAAUACUGAUACAGGGCUCUUUUGGGUCUUGUAAUUGGAAUGAGUACAAUUUAAACCUCUUAACGAGGAACAAUUGGAGGGCAAGUCUGGUGCCAGCAGCCGCGGUAAUUCCAGCUCCAAUAGCGUAUAUUAAAGUUGUUGCAGUUAAAAAGCUCGUAGUUGAACCUUUGGCCUGGCUGGCAGGUCCGCCUCACCGCGUGCACUUGUCCGGCCGGGCCUUUUCUUCUGGAGAACCGCAUGCCCUUCACUGGGUGUGUUGGGGACCAGGACUUUUACUUUGAAAAAAUUAGAGUGUUCAAAGCAGGCCUUUGCUCGAAUACGUUAGCAUGGAAUAAUAGAAUAGGACGUGCGGUCCUAUUUUGUUGGUUUCUAGGACCGCCGUAAUGAUUAAUAGGGACAGUCGGGGGCAUCAGUAUUCAAUUGUCAGAGGUGAAAUUCUUGGAUUUAUUGAAGACUAACUACUGCGAAAGCAUUUGCCAAGGAUGUUUUCAUUAAUCAGUGAACGAAAGUUAGGGGAUCGAAGACGAUCAGAUACCGUCGUAGUCUUAACCAUAAACUAUGCCGACUAGGGAUCGGGCGGUGUUAUUAUUUUGACUCGCUCGGCACCUUACGAGAAAUCAAAGUGUUUGGGUUCUGGGGGGAGUAUG
RNAcentral lists this ribosomal RNA (1074 nucleotides) under Keissleriella cladophila. RNAcentral describes it as "SSU rRNA". It matches the Rfam family "Eukaryotic small subunit ribosomal RNA", at positions 42 to 1127 of the family's 1831-position model. Lineage: Eukaryota; Fungi; Ascomycota; Dothideomycetes; Pleosporales; Lentitheciaceae. The record is from RNAcentral.